AUUGAACGCUGGCGGCAUGCCUUACACAUGCAAGUCGAACGGCAGCACGGACUUCGGUCUGGUGGCGAGUGGCGAACGGGUGAGUAAUAUAUCGGAACAUACCUUGUAGUGGGGGAUAACUAUCCGAAGGAUAGCUAAUACCGCAUACGCUCUACGGAGGGAAGUGGGGGAUCGCAAGACCUCAUGCUAUAAGAGUGGCCGAUAUCUGAUUAGCUAGUUGGUGAGGUAAAGGCUUCACCAAGGCGACGAUCAGUAGCUGGUCUGAGAGGACGACCAGCCACACUGGAACUGAGACGCGGUCCAGACUCCUACGGGAGGCAGCAGUGGGGAAUUUUGGACAAUGGGGGCAACCCUGAUCCAGCAAUGCCGCGUGAGUGGAAGAAGGCCUC
Molecule: ribosomal RNA, 389 nt
Filed under: uncultured bacterium
Lineage: Bacteria
Description: bacterial SSU rRNA
Rfam family: Bacterial small subunit ribosomal RNA
Source: RNAcentral